RNAcentral lists this unclassified non-coding RNA (246 nucleotides) under Hevea brasiliensis (rubber tree). The record is from RNAcentral. Lineage: Eukaryota; Viridiplantae; Streptophyta; Magnoliopsida; Malpighiales; Euphorbiaceae.
UCCAUCGCAAGAUCUUGAACCUUUCACUGGGGGAUCAGGAGCCUACGCGCGGUAGUGCACCAGCGAUCAUAAGAGGGUAGGAGAUCAGGCCAAUCAGAAGAAGGGCAACAAGUGAAGUAGCCACAAAGACAAGACUUGCUCCUGCUCCUCUUCUUGCUCCAUCAUUCCUAUGAGCUCUUCCAGUACUUUCUCUAGCUCUGCCUUUUCGCUCGUGCUAAGUACAGGUACAUCGGUGCCAGUACUAGC